Molecule: ribosomal RNA, 411 nt
Filed under: uncultured microorganism
Description: bacterial SSU rRNA
Rfam family: Archaeal small subunit ribosomal RNA
Source: RNAcentral
GUGCAGCAGGCGCGAAAACUCUGCAAUGCGCGAAAGCGCGACAGGGUUACCCGAGUGUCGUCCGCUGAGGACGACUUUCCCAGUGUAGAUAGCUGGGGGAAUAAGGAGAGGGCAAGUCUGGUGUCAGCCGCCGCGGUAAUACCAGCUCUCCGAAUGGUGGGGACGCUUAUUGGGCCUAAAGCAUCCGUAGCCGGUCUAACAAGUCCCUUGUUAAAUCCAGCGAUUCAAUCGCUGGACUGCAAGGGAUACUGUUAGACUAGGGGGCGGGAGAGGCCGACGGUAUUCCCGGGGUAGGGGUGAAAUCCUAUAAUCCCGGGAGGACCACCAGUGGCGAAGGCUGUCGGCUAGAACGCGCCCGACGGUGAGGGAUGAAAGCUGGGGGAGCGGAACCGGAUUAGAUACCCCGGUAGU